GAACCCUCUGAAUGGUGACUUUCUCCAGGUGCAGGACAGGUCUUUGAUAAAAAUGUUAAAUAGUGUAAGGCCAAGAACUGAUUCCUGUGGGAUCCCACUAAAAAUACACCCAUUUGAUGAUGUUUCUUCAUUUACAACUGCACUUUGAGAACUAUCAAUCCCAGGCUGGAACCCAAGAUUUCCAAGUCUCACCAUUCCUCUGCUGUAAAUAUCUGUGAAACCCACUGUGAAAACCAAGGAUGCCUGCCUCAUUUGUUGAGCAAGUUGGAAGGUGUAUAGUGAAUAAGUCAGGGUACUGCUGGAAGAAAAAGGACAGUCUCUGAGUUAAGGUUAUUGGUCACUAUAGCACUAGUGACAAGCUCCUGAAGGGAAGAAAUGAAGAUGUCUAGUUGGAGUUAUGUGGUAAUAAGUGAUUGGCAGAGAUGGGACGUUGUAUCCUUAUCCCAGUCCAAGAGUGGGAGAUUUGUGAAAUCUCACCCCAAAACAGUUUGAAGAUGACCAUGACAUCACUGCUUGGUUUGGUUUCUGUGAACAGCUUUCAGACUUCACAAGUGGCUUGAUUGACAGAAGUCAGUGGAACUAGAAAACUCUGUCUAGCUAUACCUUGGAAGGCAGCACAUUAGGAGAGAAGAAUGGAUAUUUAAAAUACAGUAAAAUGAAUCUCAGAA
Mauremys mutica (yellowpond turtle) is the source of this 668-nucleotide long non-coding RNA. RefSeq lists it as uncharacterized. The transcript has 6 exons. Lineage: Eukaryota; Metazoa; Chordata; Testudines; Geoemydidae. The record is from RefSeq and is a predicted model, not a curated record.